RNAcentral lists this long non-coding RNA (805 nucleotides) under Homo sapiens (human). Its description in RNAcentral is "HSALNT0343520". Lineage: Eukaryota; Metazoa; Chordata; Mammalia; Primates; Hominidae. The record is from RNAcentral.
CAUAACCCCAGUCUAAUCAUGAGAAUCCACCAGACAGACCCAAAUUGAGGGGGAUUCUACAAAAUACACGACCCGCACUCUUCUAAGGUGUCAAGGUCAUGAAAAACAAGACUGGAAAACCAACACAGACUGGAGGAGACUAAGAAGACCUGACAACUAAAUGCCAUGUGGGACCCUGGAGGGGACCCGGGAACAGUAGUAGAAGAGCUGGUGACAUCUGAAUGAAGUCUGUAAUUUGGGUAACAGUACUGUACCAAUGUUAAUUUCCCUGCUCUGCCAAUGCGAUGAGGGAACAGAAGAGAUGAUGGCAAUGCACCUUGCAGGUGCAGUUUCCUUGGGGACCCCUGAACAAGGAGGUUGUUAUCUGGCCAUCUUCAUUCCCACCUUGUGGGAACUGGGUCCAGGGAACCAACACAAAUAAGCUGACAACUUGGCUACUGCUUUUGCUGGAUGCAUUUCACAGAGCACAUGAGCAACUCGGAGGGACCUGGGAAGCCAUGUGGCUGAUGCCUUGCUUUACAGAAGAGGACACCAGGCCCAGAGAGAGGAAGAGACUCCCUGGGACAGCAUGCGCAGCCAGUGGCAAAGCCAGGACCCACAUGCCGAUCCCCCCUUCCCCGCAGCCCUCCCUGUGUGGCAGGGUUGGUACCGAUGCGAUACCACAGCCACAGCCCUCCCAACAUCAACCCACUGGGCCGCCUGUGGGCCUCUGCUCUUCAAAGGAAGAAAGAGCUAUUUGGGAUAAUGGUCGCAGAGCCCUCUGAAGUUCCAAAGAGUUGGAAAAAAUACAUCUAUAAGACCCAUA